Molecule: ribosomal RNA, 312 nt
Filed under: uncultured bacterium
Lineage: Bacteria
Description: bacterial SSU rRNA
Rfam family: Bacterial small subunit ribosomal RNA
Source: RNAcentral
AUUGAACGCUGGCGGAAUGCUUUACACAUGCAAGUCGAGCGGCAGCGCGGGGGCAACCCUGGCGGCGAGCGGCGAACGGGUGAGUAAUACAUCGGAACGUGUCCUUGAGUGGGGGAUAAGCUCGGCGAAAGCCGGAUUAAUACCGCAUAAGCUCUGAGGAGGAAAGCGGGGGGACCUGGUAACGGGCCUCGCGCUGUUGGAGCGGCCGAUGUCGGAUUAGCUAGUUGGUGGGGUAAAGCCACAAGCGACGAUCCGUAGCUGGUCUGAGAGGAUGAUCAGCCGACACUGGAACUGAGACACGGUCCAGACUCC